Rana temporaria (common frog) is the source of this 2431-nucleotide long non-coding RNA. RefSeq lists it as uncharacterized. The transcript is spliced from 5 exons. The record is from RefSeq and is a predicted model, not a curated record. NCBI's taxonomy places the organism in Eukaryota, Metazoa, Chordata, Amphibia, Anura, Ranidae.
GAUCUUACAGAUGAGCCUUCUUUCCUUACCUUCUUCCACAGAAGAAAGAUAAGUGAGCAAACACAAGAACAAAGCAGGGCGCUGGAUUUUCCAAAGUUCACCGAAAAUGGCAGUGGGCACACUGGCCUCAGUUUGGCAGCACUUCACAAAACGGGGACCCAGAAAAAGAGAAAGGACCCAGAGUUGGGAAGCCACACACAUACAAUUCAAUUAGAGCAACAAACAACUGUCCAAGCUUGGGAAAAGACAGUACAACCCCCCAAGGAGGAUCUCCAUCACCAAUCAAAGAGGUCAGAGGACAUGAAUAUCCAUGUGCUGCUAUUUGACUGCUAACCAGCAUUUGAGGGAGUGAAAAGGCGUCUAAGGAAUCAGAAGUUCAGCAAUCUUGUUGCUCAUCAGGCGGGUCCUGCUGUGUGUGGACAGAAAACUGCCUCGUUCAGAUCUGACUGGAGGGACCGGAGAUUUCAGAGGGGUGGGGCCUGUUCAUUUUUAUGAAGAUAUUACACACAAGGAGCAUUGGUCAAAGCCAGAUCAGCCUGAAGAAAGCCAAAAUUCUGAACAUGGAGAAAAAAUGCAAUGAAGGAUAAUUUGCAGGUUAAAGGGCUGUGAGGGGAUGGAAUAUUCAUGGAAUCGGCUCAUGAGAAAAUACAUAAGCAUGUUAGCAGGUUGUGCUGCAAGUCAUAAAGGUAUAACACAAUAGAGAAGGAUGCUGCAUAAUGUUAAUGAAUGGCAGAGCAAGCAAUAACCCUAAACAACACUGGCACAGAGAGCCUACUGAUUAGCGUCUUUGUAGUUCUGGGUUCUUGCAUUAAGUUAUUUCGGUACUCCAUCUGCAUGGAGUAUGUUCCUCCUAGUGUUUGUUUUGGUUUCAUUUUGCUGCAGUUUGUACCCUAGAGGCCUCUGACCACUUUCCCUAGAAUUAACUGUAAGUGACUGAUGGGGGUGAUCAAGUAUAAGCUCCUCUGGGCAGAGAUUGAUCUGAUAUAGCAUUAUGUACUCUGUACAAUGCUGCAAUGUGGGCUUAACUCACACUGGCAGUUUUAACCAAGCCUGGGCAUGGUUCACCCCUUGGUGUGGUUUGUGUGUGCAUUAUGAGUGCUCUGAACCAUGUCCUGAAGCACUUGGAACACACAGCGGAAGUGAGCCGGCAGUGUCGUGCAUGCAGGCCCCCCACCCAGAAGUGUCAGAUCACGUAUCUAUAGGUGAUCCUACACACAGGUGCCACCCUGUAGCAAUAAAACUGAUAUAGGGUGGACCUGAAGAGGUUAAAGGUCAGUUGAUUUGGCUGCUUUCAAAGUGAUCGCAGGUGCAUUGCACAAAGCCAUAGACUUCUAUUAUAUCCUAUGAGUUUGGUGUGCUUUCUGAACGAGCACCUAAGCUCCUGAAUUUGGGCGUUUUUAGAAAGUGCAUCACACCUACAGGAUAUAAUGGAAGUCUACAGCAAAGUGCAGCUAACCCACAGGUGCACUGCACUGCACCCGCAGUGAGGAAGCAGCCUUAGACCCCUUUACACGAUUGGUCUGAUUGGGUCUACCUGUCCAAUUUACAGGCAGGCCCAAUCGGACCCUCCAUUCACCUCUAUGGCAUUGCAGAUAUAAAUGAACGUGUCUGUUUAUACACACCUACCUCCAAUCUGUUUCGCUAAAUAAACAGAAGGGGGAUCUGUCCCCUUCCAUCGGAUCGGAGGGCUCAUAGAGUAGAGCGGGCUGUGUCUGCUCUGCAUAUGUAGAGUGGACAAGGACCUGCCAUCCGCCUGCCCAGCUCAUUGUGGCCUGCAACCGGUUACCAAGUUGUUUAGGUGGGCCUCGCUCUUCAAAAGGUUGGGCACCCCUGAUCUAUGGCCAGUUUAAGUUCCCAGUACCUGAAAACAUGUUACACUGACAGCACUAUGCAAUGGACUGUGUCUGGAUUUGCUAAUAGUAGUGAUCUUCACCCUGUUCUGAUUUGCCUUUACUGAACACAUAUUUGGAUUUGUACAGAUUAACAUUAAUACAGAUUAACAGUAUUAUACAGAUUAACAUUAAUACAGAUUAACAGUUGCAGCACCAAACAUGCUGAUCAGGCAGGCUUUUGUUUGGGAAGGGUUCAGAUUAGCUCACACAAGCACACAUUUGAGGCCUCUAUAAUUAGGUCUUCUGUAGGGCGAAACGCAUUGGAGCACAAGGUAGACAGAUUGGUCUACACGUCAUGAACUUUUUUUUUUGUGCAUUAAAGCUUGACUCAGAUCAACAAUGUCAUUGGUGUGCAGCCUGUUCAUUUCUCCUUGACAAUCAGUCUGGCACAGUGGGGGUGCGCUCCCAGAUGGGUACCUGACAGAGGCUGAAGGUACGAAGGGAGAGGGGCGCUUUGGAGCAGCGUGUUCAUUAUUAUUUACACAUAUUUGGGGCCUGUUCGCUUCUAGAGAGGGGCCAGAUAAACUAUUUUGCAAAAU